RNAcentral lists this ribosomal RNA (464 nucleotides) under uncultured bacterium. Its description in RNAcentral is "partial 16S ribosomal RNA". It matches the Rfam family "Bacterial small subunit ribosomal RNA", at positions 339 to 795 of the family's 1533-position model. The record is from RNAcentral.
CUACGGGUGGCUCCAGUGGGGAAUAUUGCACAAUGGGCGCAAGCCUGAUGCAGCCAUGCCGCGUGUAUGAAGAAGGCCUUCGGGUUGUAAAGUACUUUCAGCGGGGAGGAAGGGAGUAAAGUUAAUACCUUUGCUCAUUGACGUUACCCGCAGAAGAAGCACCGGCUAACUCCGUGCCAGCAGCCGCGGUAGUACGGAGGGUGCAAGCGUUAAUCGGAAUUACUGGGCGUAAAGCGCACGCAGGCGGUUUGUUAAGUCAGAUGUGAAAUCCCCGGGCUCAACCUGGGAACUGCAUCUGAUACUGGCAAGCUUGAGUCUCGUAGAGGGGGGUAGAAUUCCAGGUGUAGCGGUGAAAUGCGUAGAGAUCUGGAGGAAUACCGGUGGCGAAGGCGGCCCCCUGGACGAGGACUGACGCUCAGGUGCGAAAGCGUGGGGAGCAAACAGGAUUAGAUACCCCUGUAGUC